UACGUAGGUGGCGAGCGUUGUCCGGAUUUACUGGGCGUAAAGGGAGCGUAGGCGGACUUUUAAGUGAGAUGCGAAAUACUCGGGCUCAACUUGAGUGCUGCAUUUCAAACUGGAAGUCUAGAGUGCAGGAGAGGAGAAUGGAAUUCCUAGUGUAGCGGUGAAAUGUGUAGAGAUUAGGAAGAACACCAGUGGCGAAGGCGAUUCUCUGGACUGUAACUGACGCUGAGGCUCGAAAGCGUGGGGAGCAAACAGG
This 253-nucleotide ribosomal RNA is filed under the name uncultured bacterium. RNAcentral describes it as "partial 16S ribosomal RNA". It matches the Rfam family "Bacterial small subunit ribosomal RNA", at positions 524 to 776 of the family's 1533-position model. The record is from RNAcentral.